GGGAUACGGGGAUACGCAGUCAUUAAAAUGACAUAAUUAUUCGAGUACUUUAAGAGGAGAAUGGGUUUAUCAUUGAAAAAUAAUAGUUACUAACUAUUAUUUUUCAAUGAUAUACGGGGAUACGCAGUCAUUAAAAUGACGUAAUUAUUCGAGUAGUUUAAGAGGAGAAUUGGUAACUAUUAUUUUUCAAUGAUACCGGGAUACGCAGUCAUUAAAAUGACGUAAUUAUUCGAGUACUUUAAGAGGAGAAUGGGUUUAUCAUUGAAAAAUAAUAGUUACUAACUAUUAUUUUUCAAUGAUAUACGGGGAUACGCAGUCAUUAAAAUGACGUAAUUAUUCGAGUAGUUUAAAAGGAGAAUGGGUAACUAUUAUUUUUCAAUGAUGUACGGGGAUACGCAGUCAUUAAAAUGACGUAAUUAUUCGAGUAGUUUAAAAGGAGAAUGGGUAACUAUUAUUUUUCAAUGAUACGGGGAUACGGGGAUACGCAGUCAUUAAAAUGACGUAAUUAUUUGAGUAGUUUAAAAGGAGAAUGGGUAACUUAUUAUUUUUCAGUGAUACGGGGAUACGCAGUCAUUAAAAUGACGUAUUAUUUGAGUAGUUUAAAAGGAGAAUGGGUAACUAUUAUUUUUCAAUGAUACGGGGAUACGGGGAUACGCAGUCAUUAAAAUGACGUAAUUAUUUGAGUAGUUUAAAAGGAGAAUGGGUAACUAUCAUUUUUCAAUGAUACGGGGAUACGCAGUCAUUAAAAUGACGUAAUUAUUCGAGUAGUUUAAAAGGAGAAUGGGUAACUAUUAUUUUUCAAUGAUACGGGGAUACGCAGUCAAAUCGUGCUCAUUUGAUAUGCAAAAUUUAUACUAAUGAGUAAUAUUUUGUGCG
Molecule: long non-coding RNA, 876 nt
Filed under: Paramuricea clavata
Lineage: Eukaryota; Metazoa; Cnidaria; Anthozoa; Malacalcyonacea; Plexauridae
Source: RNAcentral